RNAcentral lists this ribosomal RNA (600 nucleotides) under Streptomyces sp. Its description in RNAcentral is "bacterial SSU rRNA". It matches the Rfam family "Bacterial small subunit ribosomal RNA", at positions 896 to 1487 of the family's 1533-position model. Lineage: Bacteria; Bacillati; Actinomycetota; Actinomycetes; Kitasatosporales; Streptomycetaceae. The record is from RNAcentral.
AAAACUCAAAGGAAUUGACGGGGGCCCGCACAAGCGGCGGAGCAUGUGGCUUAAUUCGACGCAACGCGAAGAACCUUACCAAGGCUUGACAUACACCGGAAAACCCUGGAGACAGGGUCCCCCUUGUGGUCGGUGUACAGGUGGUGCAUGGCUGUCGUCAGCUCGUGUCGUGAGAUGUUGGGUUAAGUCCCGCAACGAGCGCAACCCUUGUCCCGUGUUGCCAGCAGGCCCUUGUGGUGCUGGGGACUCACGGGAGACCGCCGGGGUCAACUCGGAGGAAGGUGGGGACGACGUCAAGUCAUCAUGCCCCUUAUGUCUUGGGCUGCACACGUGCUACAAUGGCCGGUACAAUGAGCUGCGAUACCGCGAGGUGGAGCGAAUCUCAAAAAGCCGGUCUCAGUUCGGAUUGGGGUCUGCAACUCGACCCCAUGAAGUCGGAGUCGCUAGUAAUCGCAGAUCAGCAUUGCUGCGGUGAAUACGUUCCCGGGCCUUGUACACACCGCCCGUCACGUCACGAAAGUCGGUAACACCCGAAGCCGGUGGCCCAACCCCUUGUGGGAGGGAGCUGUCGAAGGUGGGACUGGCGAUUGGGACGAAGUC